Molecule: ribosomal RNA, 497 nt
Filed under: uncultured bacterium
Lineage: Bacteria
Description: partial 16S ribosomal RNA
Rfam family: Bacterial small subunit ribosomal RNA
Source: RNAcentral
GAUGAACGCUGGCGGCGUGCCUAAUACAUGCGAGUCGAGCGAACAGAUAAGGAGCUUGCUCCUUUGACGUUAGCGGCGGACGGGUGAGUAACACGUGGAUAACCUACCUAUAAGACUGGGAUAACUUCGGGAAACCGGAGCUAAUACCGGAUAACAUAUUGAACCGCAUGGUUCAAUAGUGAAAGGCGGCUUUGCUGUCACUUAUAGAUGGAUCCGCGCCGUAUUAGCUAGUUGGUAAGGUAACGGCUUACCAAGGCAACGAUACGUAGCCGACCUGAGAGGGUGAUCGGCCACACUGGAACUGAGACACGGUCCAGACUCCUACGGGAGGCAGCAGUAGGGAAUCUUCCGCAAUGGGCGAAAGCCUGACGGAGCAACGCCGCGUGAGUGAUGAAGGUCUUCGGAUCGUAAAACUCUGUUAUCAGGGAAGAACAAAUGUGUAAGUAACUGUGCACAUCUUGACGGUACCCGAUCAGAAAGCCACGGCUAACUACGUG